GGGAGACAACCAUGGACUUUGGUAUGGAACCACACAGCCUCUUCACAGACGGACAGGUGCUGAGCAUUUCCCUGGGACCAGGAGACAGAGAUGUGGCCUAUUCCUGCAUUGUCUCCAACCCUGUCAGCUGGGACUUGGCCACAGUCACGCCCUGGGAUAGCUGUCAUCAUGAGGCAGGUAUGCUAAGGGCCAGCAGUCAAUGGUUGAGGGCUUAUGAAGCAUCAAGUCCACCUCUAACCCCACCCCUCCAUGUUCAGCACCAGGGAAGGCCUCCUAUAAAGAUGUGCUGCUGGUGGUGGUGCCUGUCUCGCUGCUCCUGAUGCUGGUUACUCUCUUCUCUGCCUGGCACUGGUGCCCCUGCUCAGUUCCUGGGCAAUCACUUCACCUUGGACAAAGGAUCAGCACAGCUGGCCUCCAGAUCCACAUCACCACUCUUCCACUCGAUUGUUCCCAGAUCCUCCCUGCCUGGCCUGCUCAGAGGUUCCCUGUUGGGCCCCACCUCAGAUCAAAGCAGCUCUGGAUGAGAUGGGACCUGCAGCUCUCCCUCCACAAGGUGACUCUUAGCAACCUCAUUUCGACAGUGUUUGUAGUGUGGUGCACCAGGGCCUUGUUGAACAGAUCCACACUGCUCUAAUAAAGUUCCCAUCCUUAAUGA
This 655-nucleotide small RNA is filed under the name Pan troglodytes (chimpanzee). Its description in RNAcentral is "processed transcript". Lineage: Eukaryota; Metazoa; Chordata; Mammalia; Primates; Hominidae. The record is from RNAcentral.